AUUACCGCGGCUGCUGGCACGGAGUUAGCCGGGGCUUCUUCUGUGGGUACUGUCACUUGCUUCUUCCCCACUGAAAGUGCUUUACAAUCCGAAGACCUUCAUCACACACACAGAAUUGCUGGAUCAGGCUCGUGGCCCAUUGUCCAAUAUUCCCCACUGCUGCCUCCCGUAGG
RNAcentral lists this ribosomal RNA (173 nucleotides) under uncultured bacterium. Its description in RNAcentral is "partial 16S ribosomal RNA". The record is from RNAcentral.